UACAGAGGGGGCAAGCGUUAUUCGGAAUUAUUGGGCGUAAAGGGCGCGUAGGCGGCUUUUCAAGUGACGGGUGAAAUCCCUCGGCUUAACCGAGGAACUGCCUGUCAGACUGGAAGGCUUGAGACCGGGAGAGGUGAGUGGAAUUCCCAGUGUAGCGGUGAAAUGCGUAGAUAUCUGGAGGAACACCGGUGGCGAAGGCGGCAUCCUGGACCGGCAUUGACGCUGAGGCGCGAAAGCCAGGGGAGCAAACGGG
RNAcentral lists this ribosomal RNA (253 nucleotides) under uncultured prokaryote. RNAcentral describes it as "partial 16S ribosomal RNA". It matches the Rfam family "Bacterial small subunit ribosomal RNA", at positions 524 to 776 of the family's 1533-position model. The record is from RNAcentral.